This is a long non-coding RNA of Aegilops tauschii subsp. strangulata, 1903 nucleotides long. RefSeq lists it as uncharacterized. The record is from RefSeq and is a predicted model, not a curated record. NCBI's taxonomy places the organism in Eukaryota, Viridiplantae, Streptophyta, Magnoliopsida, Poales, Poaceae.
UUUUCUUUUGCCACACCAUAUUUACUUAUGCAAAAUAUGGCAUCUCCCGAACAUUUUUAUUUUAAUAUUUGAAAACUUUUGUCGUUUGACUUAUUUAGGAUAUAAAUUUGAAACGGUUUUGAAUUAACCCGAGAUUAAUUAAGUGACGGAGGUGACGUGCCAUCAUUAACGUGAGAUUACUGUAGCAUGAUUGUCCGGGCGUUACAUUGACCAUAUUGCAGUUUUUUUAUGCACGCUAUAAUGUACUCCGGCUGUCGGUGGGGGAAAGAGAUGGUACGAGCCGACGGCGAGUAAUUUGGGAGAUUCGCGAAGACUCUGUUUCCUUAACGAGAGAACAUCUGUUGUGUAUCGGAUGUCCCUGCUCCAGAAUUCUUUCUAAAUGCAGGGCGUUUUUGUAAAAGUGCAAGUGGUACGGGGCAACUUCUCUUCAUCUCGUGCAGCUGAUGUGCAGGCAGGCACAUCAUCACCACCAACUCGGUUUUUUAUAGGAGUAUAGAGAUAUUUUGUUGGCACUACAAUACCUGAGUACUGAUUCUUUGUGGGGUUUUUUUUUUUGUUUCUUAGGGCUACUGGUUGUCACCUCAUGCAUCUACGCUUGGUGGUUUAGGCCCUCUUUUCGCUAAAUUCUUAAUAUUCCAGGUAUGUUCAUAUGAACCACCUUAGGAUCUUCCAUAACUAUCAAUAUUUUAUUUGCACUAUUUUUUCACUCGCUCUAAAAAGGUGUAUAUAUAUAUAUAUAUAUAUAUAUAUAUAUAUAUAUCCACUACCUAAAAAACGGUAUGGUUCCGUCUCCCCUCUUACGUCGCUAAGUUUCGUCGGACCUCCCACUUCCGAUAACCCCACACCGCUUUGUCCGCUGGUCCCAUCUUAUGUCCUGGUCUAUCUCCUUAAUCGCCGCCGAAAUCACCAGCCCCCGUUCCCAAAAUCCAUCACGGGAUGUCCUCGCUGCCAACUACGUCUGCUCCCAUCUACCCCGCCGCCCCGUCUCCCCUGAGUCCCCUCUCCCAAACCCCACGGUGAAUUCAGAUCCGACAUUCCGGUCUGGCGGGGAAGGCAGGUAUUGCGGCCAAGCGACAACGAUGAUGAUAAGGAAGACCCUGGGGCCAUGUGACGGGAGCAAGUCACACAGACACAGGCGCUUCCUGACCAGCAGGAGACGCCGCAAUGGCUGCGAGGAGGAGGUUGCCAAGCGGGAGUGAGGAAUCUCCCGUGGUAGCCGGGGCCGCUGCUGAUUCAGACAAGGCGAGUAAGAGGGAUGCAGGCCAUGCCAGGGCCGCGGAGGCGUCCACCACCGUACAACAUGCAUGGAGAUGAGGUGGCGGCUCGAGCUGCAGCGGGCGCGGCCAUACGAGCUCGUCGUCGGGAGGAGGGAGGCCACCGAGGGCAUCUAGCGGCAAAAGGAUCAGCUUUAGGUACAGAUCGAGCCGGUGCUACUGCUCUCUAGGGCUCUUGCCGCGCUGCACAACUACAAAUGCAGAAUCUGGGGAGGGGUUAUCUGUGGAGAAGGCACGGCUUGGAGAUCUGGAGAGGCUGCUUAAGACGAGGCAGUAUUGUAUCCAGGUUGCUGCCUUGUAACAUGUGGUAUUCCAUGAGCUGUCGAUCAGUUGCAGAAAAUUGUCUUCCAUGUUCUGAGAAAAUGAUUAUCUCUGUAGAUCCUGCCGAGUUAGACAUGCUGCACACGUUUUAACGACAUAUCAGAUUUCCAUUCUUGAAGAUCACAGGUGCAUUGUGUCUUAUAUUUUUUAGAACAAUUAAAAAUAUGUAGUAGAUGCAACUGCAGACCUAGGAUUUAGUUCAUGUCCUUUGUGGGUACGCCCAGGAUAAGAUGGUACUGGUCAAGAUGUAUGUUGAUCUUAGCCGCUUCUUAUGGACACAUGAGAAUUUUUUGUUUUCCUUUCUUAAA